GGACCCGCACAAGCGGUGGAUGAUGUGGUUUAAUUCGAUGCAACGCGAAAAACCUUACCCACCUUUGACAUGUACGGAAGAAUUUAGAGAUAGAUUUGUGCUCGAAAGAGAGCCGUAACACAGGUGCUGCAUGGCUGUCGUCAGCUCGUGUCGUGAGAUGUUGGGUUAAGUCCCGCAACGAGCGCAACCCUUGCCAUUAGUUGCCAUCAUUUAGUUGGGCACUCUAAUGGGACUGCCGGUGAUAAACCGGAGGAAGGUGGGGAUGACGUCAAGUCCUCAUGGCCCUUAUAGGUGGGGCUACACACGUCAUACAAUGGCCGGUACAAAGGGAAGCCAACCCGCGAGGGGGAGCCAAUCCCAUAAAGCCGGUCGUAGUCCGGAUCGCAGUCUGCAACUCGACUGCGUGAAGUCGGAAUCGCUAGUAAUCGUGGAUCAGCAUGUCACGGUGAAUACGUUCCCGGGUCUU
RNAcentral lists this ribosomal RNA (466 nucleotides) under uncultured bacterium. RNAcentral's name for it is "bacterial SSU rRNA". It matches the Rfam family "Bacterial small subunit ribosomal RNA", at positions 917 to 1382 of the family's 1533-position model. The record is from RNAcentral.